UUUGGCAGCUAGCUCUGUGCAACUCUCCCAUGGUCCCCCACAGAAUCUAAGCAGCACUGUGCCUGGUCAGUACCUGGAUGGGAGACCACAUGGGAAAGCUAGGUUGUUGCCGGAA
Molecule: non-coding RNA, 115 nt
Organism: Danio rerio (zebrafish)
Lineage: Eukaryota; Metazoa; Chordata; Actinopteri; Cypriniformes; Danionidae
Source: Rfam